UUUAUCGGAGAGUUUGAUCCUGGCUCAGGACGAACGCUGGCGGCGUGCCUAAUACAUGCAAGUCGAGCGGACAGAUGGGAGCUUGCUCCCUGAUGUUAGCGGCGGACGGGUGAGUAACACGUGGGUAACCUGCCUGUAAGACUGGGAUAACUCCGGGAAACCGGGGCUAAUACCGGAUGGUUGUUUGAACCGCAUGGUUCAGACAUAAAAGGUGGCUUCGGCUACCACUUACAGAUGGACCCGCGGCGCAUUAGCUAGUUGGUGAGGUAACGGCUCACCAAGGCGACGAUGCGUAGCCGACCUGAGAGGGUGAUCGGCCACACUGGGACUGAGACACGGCCCAGACUCCUACGGGAGGCAGCAGUAGGGAAUCUUCCGCAAUGGACGAAAGUCUGACGGAGCAACGCCGCGUGAGUGAUGAAGGUUUUCGGAUCGUAAAGCUCUGUUGUUAGGGAAGAACAAGUGCCGUUCAAAUAGGGCGGCACCUUGACGGUACCUAACCAGAAAGCCACGGCUAACUACGUGCCAGCAGCCGCGGUAAUACGUAGGUGGCAAGCGUUGUCCGGAAUUAUUGGGCGUAAAGG
Molecule: ribosomal RNA, 584 nt
Filed under: Bacillus velezensis
Lineage: Bacteria; Bacillati; Bacillota; Bacilli; Caryophanales; Bacillaceae
Description: bacterial SSU rRNA
Rfam family: Bacterial small subunit ribosomal RNA
Source: RNAcentral